Molecule: long non-coding RNA, 380 nt
Filed under: Rattus norvegicus (Norway rat)
Lineage: Eukaryota; Metazoa; Chordata; Mammalia; Rodentia; Muridae
Description: long non-coding RNA NONRATT031060
Source: RNAcentral
GUAAGGAGAGUCAACAUGUCAGACAGAAGACGGCAGGGGUAUGAACUGAUGUACUCACAUCAGCACCAGCCCUCCAGGGAGGGGAGCAGACCUCUCCAAUCUCUAAACUGGUUGAGUCUCCAAAGAGAGAAACCGUGGCUUAUCCUCGAGGAAGGGCCCAGCACAUUUUCAAAAGGCAGGUCUGACCAUUCUGUCCAUGCCCUUAGGCUGCCCGGUGCCAUGCCUGUAAGCGCCAGGGAAAGCUGCUGGAAACCAUCCACUGGCGCGGGCAAAUCCGUCAUUUCUGCAACCAACAGUGUCUGCUGCGCUUCUACAGUCAGCAGAACCAACCCAACUUGGAUACCCAGAGUGGGCCAGAAAGCCUCCUGAACAGUGAGUCU